RNAcentral lists this ribosomal RNA (258 nucleotides) under uncultured microorganism. RNAcentral's name for it is "partial 16S ribosomal RNA". It matches the Rfam family "Bacterial small subunit ribosomal RNA", at positions 347 to 595 of the family's 1533-position model. The record is from RNAcentral.
GCGCGCAGGCGCGAAUCUUCCACAAUGGACGAAAGUCUGAUGGAGCGACGCCGCGUGCGGGAUGAAGGCCUUAUGGGUUGUAAACCGCUGUCAGGGGGGAAGAACAUCGGAAUGAACAAUACUCAUUCCGACUGACGUUACCCCCAGAGGAAGCUCCGGCCAACUCCGUGCCAGCAGCCGCGGUAAUACGGGGGGGCGAAGCGUUGUCCGGAAUUAUUGGGCGUAAAGGGCGUGUAGGCGGCGAGGUAAGUCGAAUGU